This 429-nucleotide ribosomal RNA is filed under the name Fusobacteriota bacterium. RNAcentral's name for it is "Fusobacteria bacterium partial 16S ribosomal RNA". It matches the Rfam family "Bacterial small subunit ribosomal RNA", at positions 355 to 776 of the family's 1533-position model. Lineage: Bacteria; Fusobacteriati; Fusobacteriota. The record is from RNAcentral.
UGGGGAAUAUUGCGCAAUGGGCGAAAGCCUGACGCAGCGACGCCGCGUGAGGGAUGAAGGUUUUCGGAUCGUAAACCUCUGUCAGAAGGGAAGAAACCGCACUGUGCUAAUCAGCAGUGCCUUGACGGUACCUUCAAAGGAAGCACCGGCUAACUCCGUGCCAGCAGCCGCGGUAAUACGGAGGGUGCAAGCGUUAAUCGGAAUUACUGGGCGUAAAGCGCACGUAGGCUGCUUUGUAAGUCAGGGGUGAAAUCCCACGGCUCAACCGUGGAACUGCCUUUGAUACUGCUUAGCUUGAAUCCGGGAGAGGGUGGCGGAAUUCCAGGUGUAGGAGUGAAAUCCGUAGAUAUCUGGAGGCACAUCAGUGGCGAAGGCGGCCACCUGGACCGGUAUUGACGCUGAGGUGCGAAAGCGUGGGGAGCAAACAGG